Molecule: non-coding RNA, 46 nt
Organism: Schistosoma curassoni
Lineage: Eukaryota; Metazoa; Platyhelminthes; Trematoda; Strigeidida; Schistosomatidae
Source: Rfam
GCACUGCUGAAGAGUCCCAUGCUAGGACGAAACGACCGUCCAGUGC